UACGUAGGGUGCGAGCGUUGUCCGGAAUUAUUGGGCGUAAAGGGCUCGUAGGCGGUCUGUCACGUCGGGAGUGAAAACUCAGGGCUUAACCCUGAGCCUGCUUCCGAUACGGGCAGACUAGAGGUAUGCAGGGGAGAACGGAAUUCCUGGUGUAGCGGUGAAAUGCGCAGAUAUCAGGAGGAACACCGGUGGCGAAAGCGGCUCUCUGGGACGGUACUGACGCUGAGACGCGAAAGCGUGGGGAGCGAACAGG
Molecule: ribosomal RNA, 253 nt
Filed under: uncultured bacterium
Lineage: Bacteria
Description: partial 16S ribosomal RNA
Rfam family: Bacterial small subunit ribosomal RNA
Source: RNAcentral